UGGGGAAUUUUGGACAAUGGGCGAAAGCCUGAUCCAGCAAUGCCGCGUGUGUGAAGAAGGCCUUCGGGUUGUAAAGCACUUUUGUCCGGAAAGAAGUCCUUGGCUCUAAUACAGUCGGGGGAUGACGGUACCGGAAGAAUAAGCACCGGCUAACUACGUGCCAGCAGCCGCGGUAAUACGUAGGGUGCAAGCGUUAAUCGGAAUUACUGGGCGUAAAGCGUGCGCAGGCGGUUUGCUAAGACCGAUGUGAAAUUCCCGGGCUCAACCUGGGAACUGCAUUGGUGACUGGCAGGCUAGAGUAUGGCAGAGGGGGGUAGAAUUCCACGUGUAGCAGUGAAAUGCGUAGAGAUGUGGAGGAAUACCGAUGGCGAAGGCAGCCCCCUGGGCCAAUACUGACGCUCAUGCACGAAAGCGUGGGGAGCAAACAGGAUUAGAUACCCUGGUAGUCCACGCCCUAAACGAUGUCAACUAGUUGUUGGGGAUUCAUUUCCUUAGUAACGUAGCUAACGCGUGAAGUUGACCGCCUGGGGAGUACGGUCGCAAGAUUAAAACUCAAAUGAAUUGACGGGGUCAUAGCUGUUUCCU
This 585-nucleotide ribosomal RNA is filed under the name uncultured bacterium. RNAcentral's name for it is "partial 16S ribosomal RNA". It matches the Rfam family "Bacterial small subunit ribosomal RNA", at positions 355 to 1375 of the family's 1533-position model. The record is from RNAcentral.